This 253-nucleotide ribosomal RNA is filed under the name uncultured bacterium. Its description in RNAcentral is "partial 16S ribosomal RNA". It matches the Rfam family "Bacterial small subunit ribosomal RNA", at positions 524 to 776 of the family's 1533-position model. The record is from RNAcentral.
UACAGAGGUCUCAAGCAUUGUUCGGAUUCAUUGGGCGUAAAGGGUGCGUAGGUGGCGCUGUAAGUCAGGUGUGAAAUUUCGGAGCUUAACUCCGAAACUGCAUUUGAUACCGCGGUGCUUGAGGACUGGAGAGGAGACUGGAAUUUACGGUGUAGCAGUGAAAUGCGUAGAGAUCGUAAGGAAGACCAGUGGCGAAGGCGGGUCUCUGGCCCGUAGCUGACGCUCAUGCACGACAGCGUGGGGAUCAAACAGG